UCUGGGAUAAGCCUGGGAAACUGGGUCUAAUACCGGAUAUGACUCCUCAUCGCAUGGUGGGGGGUGGAAAGCUUUUUGUGGUUUUGGAUGGACUCGCGGCCUAUCAGCUUGUUGGUGGGGUAAUGGCCUACCAAGGCGACGACGGGUAGCCGGCCUGAGAGGGUGACCGGCCACACUGGGACUGAGACACGGCCCAGACUCCUACGGGAGGCAGCAGUGGGGAAUAUUGCACAAUGGGCGAAAGCCUGAUGCAGCGACGCCGCGUGAGGGAUGACGGCCUUCGGGUUGUAAACCUCUUUCAGUAGGGAAGAAGCCCUCUUUGGGGGUGACGGUACUUGCAGAAGAAGCGCCGGCUAACUACGUGCCAGCAGCCGCGGUAAUACGUAGGGCGCAAGCGUUAUCCGGAAUUAUUGGGCGUAAAGAGCUCGUAGGCGGUUUGUCGCGUCUGCUGUGAAAGACCGGGGCUCAACUCCGGUUCUGCAGUGGGUACGGGCAGACUAGAGUGCAGUAGGGGAGACUGGAAUUCCUGGUGUAGCGGUGAAAUGCGCAGAUAUCAGGAGGAACACCGAUGGCGAAGGCAGGUCUCUGGGCUGUAACUGACGCUGAGGAGCGAAAGCAUGGGGAGCGAACAGGAUUAGAUACCCUGGUAGUCCAUGCCGUAAACGUUGGGCACUAGGUGUGGGGGACAUUCCACGUUUUCCGCGCCGUAGCUAACGCAUUAAGUGCCCCGCCUGGGGAGUACGGCCGCAAG
Molecule: ribosomal RNA, 751 nt
Filed under: Paenarthrobacter ureafaciens
Lineage: Bacteria; Bacillati; Actinomycetota; Actinomycetes; Micrococcales; Micrococcaceae
Description: bacterial SSU rRNA
Rfam family: Bacterial small subunit ribosomal RNA
Source: RNAcentral